GAAAUACCUAGUAAUCCAGUCAUCAUCAUUUUUAUCCUGAAGAGAAUGAGAGGAAAGAAUUAUCUCAUUAGAUAUGCAAGAGCCUGUCAGAUGAACUAAGUUGAUCAAAUAUGCAUCUGCUGGUGCUCAACAAAUGUCUACACCUCAAAGUGGUAAGCAAAUGCCUUACGGCAGAAAAGAUGAACAAAAAGCAGAGCAUCAUCUUUCAUCCACUUGGAUAUCUUGUGAAGAAGAUCCUUGUAGCUUUUCAUAUGCUAUCGAAGAACAAAACUUAUAAUUAUCUAAUCAUAUCAACUUUAAUCUGAGCAUCCAUAGCGUGACAAGAAAAGCACUGACCUCAAACAUUU
RNAcentral lists this unclassified non-coding RNA (347 nucleotides) under Hevea brasiliensis (rubber tree). The record is from RNAcentral. Lineage: Eukaryota; Viridiplantae; Streptophyta; Magnoliopsida; Malpighiales; Euphorbiaceae.